GGUUCUUUGGCCGAGUGGUUAAGGCGCUGCUUUUAGGCAGCAGUUCGAUUUUCGUUCACGAGUUCAAUUCUCGUAGGAACCA
Molecule: transfer RNA, 82 nt
Rfam family: tRNA
About the family: Transfer RNA (tRNA) molecules are approximately 80 nucleotides in length. Their secondary structure includes four short double-helical elements and three loops (D, anti-codon, and T loops).
Source: Rfam